UACCUGCAGGAAGAGAAAGAAAAUUCGAUUCCCUUAGUAGCGGCGAGCGAAACGGGAAAAGCCCAAACCAAAGAGCUUGCUCUUUGGGGUUGUAGGACUGGGACAUGAGACUGCAAUGGAUAGCAGAAGCCAACUGGAAAGUUGCGCAACAUAGGGUAAUAGCCCCGUAUGCGAAAUCCAAAUCAGCUCUACCAGUAUCCUGAGUACGGCGGAACACGAGAAAUUCCGUCGGAAUCCGGGAGGACCAUCUCCCAAGGCUAAAUACUCCCUAGUGACCGAUAGUGAACCAGUACCGUGAGGGAAAGGUGAAAAGCACCCCGGAAGGGGAGUGAAACAGUACCUGAAACCGUGUGCCUACAAGUAGUCAAAGCCCGUUAAUGGGUGAUGGCGUACCUUUUGUAGAAUGGACCGGCGAGUUACGAUUUCAUGCGAGGUUAAGUUGAAAAGACGGAGCCGCAGCGAAAGCGAGUCUGAAUAGGGCGAAUAAGUAUGAGGUCGUAGACCCGAAACCAAGUGACCUACCCAUGUCCAGGUUGAAGGUGCGGUAAUACGCACUGGAGGACCGAACCCACGCACGUUGAAAAGUGCGGGGAUGAGGUGUGGGUAGCGGAGAAAUUCCAAUCGAACUUGGAGAUAGCUGGUUCUCUCCGAAAUAGCUUUAGGGCUAGCCUCGGAUAUGCGAAUCAUGGAGGUAGAGCACUGUUUGGACUAGGGGCCCUUCUCGGGUUACCGAAUUCAGAUAAACUCCGAAUGCCAUUGAUUUAGAUCCGGGAGUCAGACUGCGAGUGAUAAGAUCCGUAGUCAAAAGGGAAACAGCCCAGACCACCAGCUAAGGUCCCAAAGUAUCUGUUAAGUGGAAAAGGAUGUGGGGUUGCACAGACAACUAGGAUGUUGGCUCAGAAGCAGCCAUCAUUUAAAGAGUGCGUAAUAGCUCACUAGUCGAGUGACCCUGCGCCGAAAAUUUACCGGGGCUAAACAGAUCACCGAAGCUGUGGAUGGAACCCAAUGGGUUCCGUGGUAGGAGAGCGUUCUAAGGGCAUCGAAGCCAGAUCGUGAGGACUGGUGGAGCGCUUAGAAGUGAGAAUGCCGGUAUGAGUAGCGCAAGACGGGUGAGAAUCCCGUCCACCGAAUAACUAAGGUUUCCUGGGGAAGGCUCGUCCUCCCAGGGUUAGUCGGGACCUAAGCUGAGGCCGAUAGGCGUAGGCGAUGGACAACAGGUUGAUAUUCCUGUACCAGUUGCUUUUGUUUGAGCGAUGGAGGGACGCAGGAGGCUAAGGAAUGCACACGAUCGGAAAUGUGUGUCCAAGCAGCAAGUCUGAGAACGAGUGAAAUGCUUUUUCUCUCAAGGACAAGCUGUGAUGGGGAGCGAAAUUUAGUAGCGAAGUUCCUGAUGUCACACUGCCAAGAAAAGCUUCUAGUGAGAAAGUAACUGCCCGUACCGCAAACCGACACAGGUAGUUGAGGAGAGAAUCCUAAGGUGUGCGAGAGAACUCUCGUUAAGGAACUCGGCAAAAUGACCCCGUAACUUCGGGAGAAGGGGUGCUGACCGCAAGGUCAGCCGCAGUGAAUAGGCCCAAGCGACUGUUUAUCAAAAACACAGGUCUCUGCAAAAUCGAAAGAUGACGUAUAGGGGCUGACGCCUGCCCGGUGCUGGAAGGUUAAGAGGAGAGGUUAGCGCAAGCGAAGCUUUGAAUUGAAGCCCCAGUAAACGGCGGCCGUAACUAUAACGGUCCUAAGGUAGCGAAAUUCCUUGUCGGGU
Molecule: ribosomal RNA, 1759 nt
Filed under: metagenome
Description: bacterial LSU rRNA
Rfam family: Bacterial large subunit ribosomal RNA
Source: RNAcentral